AUGGCGCCCACCGGCUUCUGCGACCUGCCGACGGAGGCCCUGGACGACAUCGCACGGCGCGCGCCGGGCCGCUCGACAACGUCGCCUGCUCGGCCGUCUGCCGGUCGUGGCGCCGGGCGCUCAAGACCACGCGCCUCCGCGUGCUCGAACGCCCGAAGCUGCUGCACCACAUCCAUGUGGACCCUCGCUGCGAGUGCCCGACGUGGCGGCCGACCAUGCUCCACUGCGACUCCCGUGGGAGGGAGCCAUGGACCAAGAAGAUCUGCCUCUGUGCCAGGGAGUCUGACCGCCCCGUCGGCGUCGCCCUGGACAGCAAGACCGACUCCGCGCACCCGGCGCGCAUCAUCGGCUCCUCCUACGGCUGGGUGGUCACCGUCGACAGGGCGUGCAGCCUGGCCCUGCUGGAGCCGCUCACCGGCCGGCGGUUCCCGCUGCCUCCCGUCACCUCGUCGCUCGACCGCAGCGAGCAGGUCAUCAAGAACGUCAACCAGAUGGGCCAGAGCACGUUCCACAAGGCGGCAUUGGCACCCGGCCGCCGGCUCGGCACCUACGUCGUCAUGCUGA
This 564-nucleotide ribosomal RNA is filed under the name Triticum aestivum (bread wheat). RNAcentral describes it as "partial small subunit ribosomal RNA". Lineage: Eukaryota; Viridiplantae; Streptophyta; Magnoliopsida; Poales; Poaceae. The record is from RNAcentral.